AGAGUUUGAUCCUGGCUCAGAUUGAACGCUGGCGGCACGCCUAACACAUGCAAGUCGAGCGGUAACAGGACCUGUAGCAAUACAGGUUGCUGACGAGCGGCGGACGGGUGAGUAACACGUAGGAAUCUACUCGAGCGGGGGACAACCAAGGGAAACUUUGGCUAAUACCGCAUAAACUCGAAAGAGAAAAGUUGCCGCGA
RNAcentral lists this ribosomal RNA (200 nucleotides) under uncultured bacterium. RNAcentral's name for it is "partial 16S ribosomal RNA". It matches the Rfam family "Bacterial small subunit ribosomal RNA", at positions 8 to 215 of the family's 1533-position model. The record is from RNAcentral.